Long non-coding RNA from Canis lupus familiaris (dog), 419 nucleotides. RefSeq lists it as uncharacterized. The record is from RefSeq and is a predicted model, not a curated record. The transcript is spliced from 3 exons. NCBI's taxonomy places the organism in Eukaryota, Metazoa, Chordata, Mammalia, Carnivora, Canidae.
GCUCAACUGCUGAGCCACCCAGGCAUCCCGUAAACUUUCUGUAAAAGGCCAGAUGGAUUGCUUAUCCUGGGGGAAGCUAGCACCAUGUCAUGAGGCCCAUGUAGUGAGGGAGUGAUGCCAGGCGACAGCCAUGAGUCUUCUUAGAAGCAGAUCACACCCCCUUCCUUGGGUCAGAUCACUCACUGACACAGGCGCCCCAGGAGGAGCAUCGUGAAGUUGAGUGAGGCAGCAUCUUCCGUUUGGGCAGCGUCCGAAGAUGAGUGCCAGUGUUGACUGUCUCCAUGAAACUCUCAUAGUAGGGGUGCCUGGCUGGCUCAGUGGUUAAGCGUCUGCCUGCCGGCCCAGGGGGUGAUCCUGGGGUCCCGGGAUCGAGUCCCAUAUUGGCCUCCCUGCGUGGAGCCUGCUUCUCCUUCUGUCUG